This 197-nucleotide unclassified non-coding RNA is filed under the name plant metagenome. Its description in RNAcentral is "partial contains small subunit ribosomal RNA, internal transcribed spacer 1, and 5.8S ribosomal RNA". The record is from RNAcentral.
CCUCCGUUGGUGAACCAGCGGAGGGAUCAUUACCGAGUGCAAACUCGUAACCCUUUGUGAACCUAUAUCUGUUGCUUCGGCGGCUCGCUCUCGGGCGAGCCCGCCGGUAAUAUCAGUAUCUCUGUUUGAACCCGACGAUACUUCUGAGUGUUCUUAGCGAACAGUUAAAACUUUUAACAACGGAUCUCUUGGCUCUA